This 100-nucleotide signal recognition particle RNA is filed under the name Bacteroidales bacterium. Its description in RNAcentral is "signal recognition particle sRNA small type". It matches the Rfam family "Bacteroidales small SRP". From Rfam's summary of the family: The non-coding component of the signal recognition particle in Bacteroides Lineage: Bacteria; Pseudomonadati; Bacteroidota; Bacteroidia; Bacteroidales. The record is from RNAcentral.
GGGUAAGUCCUGUACGACUCGCUCCCACCGAUUCCCCCAGGACUGGAAAGUAGCAAGGGUAUGAGUGGUUGAGCAGUGCGAUGCAGAACGCUUGCCCCUU